GCCGGAGUGGUGGAAUUGGCAGACACAGGGGACUUAAAAUCCCCCGGGCAUAGUAUGCCUGUACCGGUUCAAGUCCGGUCUCCGGCA
This 87-nucleotide transfer RNA is filed under the name Spirochaetales bacterium. RNAcentral's name for it is "tRNA-Leu". It matches the Rfam family "tRNA". From Rfam's summary of the family: Transfer RNA (tRNA) molecules are approximately 80 nucleotides in length. The record is from RNAcentral. RNAcentral also lists the same sequence under 2 other names. Lineage: Bacteria; Pseudomonadati; Spirochaetota; Spirochaetia; Spirochaetales.